RNAcentral lists this transfer RNA (73 nucleotides) under Levilactobacillus brevis. Its description in RNAcentral is "tRNA-Lys". It matches the Rfam family "tRNA". Rfam says of the family: Transfer RNA (tRNA) molecules are approximately 80 nucleotides in length. Their secondary structure includes four short double-helical elements and three loops (D, anti-codon, and T loops). Lineage: Bacteria; Bacillati; Bacillota; Bacilli; Lactobacillales; Lactobacillaceae. The record is from RNAcentral.
GAAUCUUUAGCUCAGCUGGUAGAGCAUCGGCCGUUUAAGCCGAGGGUCGUGGGAUCGAAGCCCACAGGAUUCA